GGAGGAGUGGUCGAGUGGUUUAAGGCACCGGUCUUGAAAACCGGAGAAGGGAGACUUUCCGUGGGUUCGAAUCCUACCUCCUCCG
This is a transfer RNA of Baumannia cicadellinicola str. Hc (Homalodisca coagulata), 85 nucleotides long. It matches the Rfam family "tRNA". Rfam says of the family: Transfer RNA (tRNA) molecules are approximately 80 nucleotides in length. Lineage: Bacteria; Pseudomonadati; Pseudomonadota; Gammaproteobacteria. The record is from Rfam.